AUUGAACGCUGGCGGCGUGCUUAACACAUGCAAGUCGUACGCGAAAGGGACUUCGGUCCCGAGUAAAGUGGCGCACGGGUGAGUAACACGUGGAUAAUCUGCCUCUAUGAUGGGGAUAACAGUUGGAAACGACUGCUAAUACCGAAUACGCUCAUGAUGAACUUUUGUGAGGAAAGGUGGCCUCUGCUUGCAAGCUAUCGCAUAGAGAUGAGUCCGCGUCCCAUUAGCUAGUUGGUGGGGUAACGGCCUACCAAGGCAACGAUGGGUAGCCGAUCUGAGAGGAUGAUCGGCCACACUGGAACUGAAACACGGGUCCAGACUCCUACGGGAGGCAGCAGUGGGGAAUAUUGCGCAAUGGGCGAAAGCCUGAUGCAGCGACGCCGCGUGAGCGAGGAAGUAUCUCGGGUAUGUAAAGCUCUAUCAGCAGGGAA
Molecule: ribosomal RNA, 431 nt
Filed under: uncultured bacterium
Lineage: Bacteria
Description: bacterial SSU rRNA
Rfam family: Bacterial small subunit ribosomal RNA
Source: RNAcentral